AUUGAACGCUGGCGGCAUGCCUUACACAUGCAAGUCGAACGGCAGCACGGGUGCUUGCACCUGGUGGCGAGCGGCGAACGGGUGAGUAAUACAUCGGAAUGUACCUUGUAGUGGGGGAUAGCUCGGCGAAAGCCGGAUUAAUACCGCAUACGCUCUGAGGAGGAAAGCGGGGGACCUUCGGGCCUCGCGCUACAAGAGCAGCCGAUGUCAGAUUAGCUAGUUGGUGGGGUAAAAGCUCACCAAGGCGACGAUCUGUAGCUGGUCUGAGAGGACGACCAGCCACACUGGGACUGAGACACGGCCCAGACUCCUACGGGAGGCAGCAGUGGGGAAUUUUGGACAAUGGGCGAAAGCCUGAUCCAGCAAUGCCGCGUGUGUGAAGAAGGCCUUCGGGUUGUAAAGCACUUUUGUCCGGAAAGAAAUCCUUUGGGUUAAUACCUCGGGGGGAUGACGGUACCGGAAGAAUAAGCACCGGCUAACUACGUGCCAGCAGCCGCGGUAAUACGUAGGGUGCAAGCGUUAAUCGGAAUUACUGGGCGUAAAGCGUGCGCAGGCGGUUUUGUAAGACGGAUGUGAAAUCCCCGGGCUUAACCUGGGAACUGCAUUCGUGACUGCAAGGCUAGAGUAUGGCAGAGGGGGGUAGAAUUCCACGUGUAGCAGUGAAAUGCGUAGAGAUGUGGAGGAAUACCGAUGGCGAAGGCAGCCCCCUGGGCCAAUACUGACGCUCAUGCACGAAAGCGUGGGGAGCAAACAGG
Molecule: ribosomal RNA, 755 nt
Filed under: uncultured Pandoraea sp.
Lineage: Bacteria; Pseudomonadati; Pseudomonadota; Betaproteobacteria; Burkholderiales; Burkholderiaceae
Description: bacterial SSU rRNA
Rfam family: Bacterial small subunit ribosomal RNA
Source: RNAcentral